RNAcentral lists this ribosomal RNA (624 nucleotides) under Bacillus amyloliquefaciens. RNAcentral's name for it is "bacterial SSU rRNA". It matches the Rfam family "Bacterial small subunit ribosomal RNA", at positions 56 to 663 of the family's 1533-position model. The record is from RNAcentral. Lineage: Bacteria; Bacillati; Bacillota; Bacilli; Caryophanales; Bacillaceae.
UGCAGUCGAGCGGACAGAUGGGAGCUUGCUCCCUGAUGUUAGCGGCGGACGGGUGAGUAACACGUGGGUAACCUGCCUGUAAGACUGGGAUAACUCCGGGAAACCGGGGCUAAUACCGGAUGCUUGUUUGAACCGCAUGGUUCAAACAUAAAAGGUGGCUUCGGCUACCACUUACAGAUGGACCCGCGGCGCAUUAGCUAGUUGGUGAGGUAACGGCUCACCAAGGCAACGAUGCGUAGCCGACCUGAGAGGGUGAUCGGCCACACUGGGACUGAGACACGGCCCAGACUCCUACGGGAGGCAGCAGUAGGGAAUCUUCCGCAAUGGACGAAAGUCUGACGGAGCAACGCCGCGUGAGUGAUGAAGGUUUUCGGAUCGUAAAGCUCUGUUGUUAGGGAAGAACAAGUACCGUUCGAAUAGGGCGGUACCUUGACGGUACCUAACCAGAAAGCCACGGCUAACUACGUGCCAGCAGCCGCGGUAAUACGUAGGUGGCAAGCGUUGUCCGGAAUUAUUGGGCGUAAAGGGCUCGCAGGCGGUUUCUUAAGUCUGAUGUGAAAGCCCCCGGCUCAACCGGGGAGGGUCAUUGGAAACUGGGGAACUUGAGUGCAGAAGAGGAGAGUG